CCUACGGGAGGCAGCAGUGAGGAAUAUUGGUCAAUGGGCGGGAGCCUGAACCAGCCAAGUCGCGUGAGGGAAGACGGUCCUAUGGAUUGUAAACCUCUUUAGGCGGGGAGCAAUGCCGGGCACGCGUGCCCGGAGGGAGAGUACCCGCAGAAUAAGCAUCGGCUAACUCCGUGCCAGCAGCCGCGGUAAUACGGAGGAUGCGAGCGUUAGCCGGAUGUAAUGGGGUGAAAGGGUGCGUAGGCGGAUUUUUAAGUCAGCGGUAAAAUGUCGGGGCUCAACCGCGGCCGGGCGGUGGAAAUGGGAGCGCGGGAGUGGCGGAGGGGGAGGCGGAAUGCUUAGUGGAGCGGGGAAAGGCGGAGACAGCAGGAGGAACACCAGUGGCGAAGGCGGCCUACGGGACGGGGACUGACGCUGAGGCUCGAAAGCGGGGGGAGCAAACAGGAUUAGAGACCCGGGUAGUC
Molecule: ribosomal RNA, 461 nt
Filed under: uncultured bacterium
Lineage: Bacteria
Description: partial 16S ribosomal RNA
Rfam family: Bacterial small subunit ribosomal RNA
Source: RNAcentral